CCUUACUGUAGAUGACUUAUUGGGAUAUGAAAAUACCUGUAUUUUGAGAAUAUUUAUUCUCUUCAAGUUUAUGGUGUUUUGUUUUCUCUAGUUCCCACAUCUGGUUGGUUCUGUUUCUUCCUGGACAUCUCCUAGGAUGCUCAACACUGCUCCCUUCUAGGCUUCAACUCUACCUACUACAGGGAAGAAAAAAGGAGUGAAACUAAGUUUUGUCUGCUGUCUAAAUCUCCCACCUUUAGCAAAGAUCAGUGGCAGUGUAUUACCAGGAAGAUAUUUGUUUGAGGAAUUGUGUAAUAGUUAAUUGUAUGUGUCAGGUUGGAGGGUGUUUUUGGAUAAGAUUAAUAAUCUGUGAACUUCGAGUAAAACAAAUCUCACUUCAUAGUGCAGGUGGGCCGUACACAAUCAGCUGAAUGUGCAAAUAGAGCAAAAAGACCAAAUUUCCUGAGCAAGAGAGAAUUCUUCAGCAGAUGCCCUUGGAUUUUAUUACAUCACCAGCUCUCUUGGGUCUCCAGCCUGUGGAUACACACUACAGAUUUGGGACUUGCCGGCCUCCAUAAUCACAUGAGCUGCUAUAUAAAAGUCUGAUUUUCCUGAGACCACCAUGCUGUGAGGAGCUCUGAGCUAGGCAUGUGGCAUGGUCAUGUGGAAGAGCAAUGAAGUGCCAGACAUGUGAGUUAAGUCUUCUGGGAUCUUUCAGUCAAGGUUAGUCACCAGCUGAAUGCAUCUGAGUGAGUGACCCAGCCAAUGACCAUGUCUGUGGAUAUGGAAUAGAACAAACUUUCUAGUUGUCUGACAGGCUUAGGAAAAUGAAUAAAUCAUUGUUCUAAGCC
RNAcentral lists this long non-coding RNA (830 nucleotides) under Callithrix jacchus (white-tufted-ear marmoset). RNAcentral's name for it is "lncRNA (ENSCJAG00000063336.2)". Lineage: Eukaryota; Metazoa; Chordata; Mammalia; Primates; Cebidae. The record is from RNAcentral.